AGGACGAACGCUGGCGGCGUGCUUAACACAUGCAAGUCGAACGGAAAGGCCCUUCGGGGUGCUCGAGUGGCGAACGGGUGAGUAACACGUGGGUGAUCUGCCCUGCACUUUGGGAUAAGCCUGGGAAACUGGGUCUAAUACCGGAUAGGACUACGAAUCGCAUGGUUUGUGGUGGAAAGCUUUUGCGGUGUGGGAUGGGCCCGUGGCCUAUCAGCUUGUUGGUGGGUGAUGGCCUACCAAGGCGACGACGGGUAGCCGGCCUGAGAGGGUGUCCGGCCACACUGGGACUGAGAUACGGCCCAGACUCCUACGGGAGGCAGCAGUGGGAAUAUUGCACAAGUGGGCGCAAGCCUGAUGCAGCGACGCCGCGUGAGGAUGACGGCCGUUCGGGUUCGUAAACCUCUUUCGAAGGUAGGACGAAGCGACGAAGCGAACGUACCUAAGUAAGAAGAAGCCACCGGACCAAACUACGACGCCAG
Molecule: ribosomal RNA, 479 nt
Filed under: uncultured soil bacterium
Lineage: Bacteria
Description: bacterial SSU rRNA
Rfam family: Bacterial small subunit ribosomal RNA
Source: RNAcentral